RNAcentral lists this ribosomal RNA (210 nucleotides) under uncultured bacterium. RNAcentral describes it as "partial 16S ribosomal RNA". It matches the Rfam family "Bacterial small subunit ribosomal RNA", at positions 1291 to 1500 of the family's 1533-position model. The record is from RNAcentral.
GUUCGGAUUGUAGUCUGCAACUCGACUACAUGAAGCUGGAAUCGCUAGUAAUCGCGGAUCAGAAUGCCGCGGUGAAUACGUUCCCGGGUCUUGUACACACCGCCCGUCACACCAUGGGAGUUUGUAACACCCGAAGUCAGUAUCCUAACCGCAAGGGGGGAGCUGCCGAAGGUGGGAUAAGCGACUGGGGUGAAGUCGUAACAAGGUAAC